RNAcentral lists this ribosomal RNA (725 nucleotides) under uncultured Basidiomycota. Its description in RNAcentral is "eukaryotic LSU rRNA". The stretch from base 300 to 453 matches the Rfam family "5.8S ribosomal RNA". Lineage: Eukaryota; Fungi; Basidiomycota. The record is from RNAcentral.
UCCGUAGGUGAACCUGCGGAAGGAUCAUUAUUGAAUAAACUUGAUAGGUUGUCGCUGGCUUCUAGGAGCAUGUGCACGCCUGUCAUCUUUAUCAAUCCACCUGUGCACCUUCUGUAGUUUUGGAAGGAAUGAGCGUGAAAAUUGUCGAGGAAAUCUAUCCUCGGGGAAUGGGGUCUGCCACGCGAAAGUGUGGCUGACCUUGAUCAUCGCGCGAGUUUCUCCAAUUCUAUGUCUUCAUAUACCACGUAGAAAGUCUUAGAAUGUUUUCAUUAGGUCUUAGUGCCUAUAAAACAAUAUACAACUUUCAGCAACGGAUCUCUUGGCUCUCGCAUCGAUGAAGAACGCAGCGAAAUGCGAUAAGUAAUGUGAAUUGCAGAAUUCAGUGAAUCAUCGAAUCUUUGAACGCACCUUGCGCUCCUUGGUAUUCCGAGGAGCAUGCCUGUUUGAGUGUCAUUUAAUUCUCAACCCCUCCAGCUUUUUUGGCUGGUUAGGUGGCUUGGAUGUGGGGUCUGCGGGCCUCUUCAGAGGUCGGCUACUCUGAAAUGCAUUAGCGGGACCGUUUGCGGUACUGUCACUGGUGUGAUAAUUAUCUACGCCAACCGACGUCUGCUCUCUGGUAGUUCUGCUUCAAACUGUCCUUUCACUUGGACAACAAAUAUCUGAAUGCUUGACCCCAAAUCAGGUAGGACUACCCGCUGAACUUAAGCAUAUCAAUAAGCGGAGGA